AGAGGGGACGAAUGGAUAUGUCUGCUGUGUAUGUGAGUCAUGGGAAAAAAUAUAAAAUAUAGCCUCUUGGUGUCCUCUGAGGCUAAAGUGAAGGCUGGAUCACCAACAGAGAAAAGAGGACAACUGCCCCAAGGCAACAGAGCUCCAGGGUGCCCAGAAAGCUCCAGGCUCGUCAACUGUGAUUAAGAGCAUGAUUUGGAAACCAUUUCCAGAAACAAAGCGACGUAUGUGAUGUUGUUCGUGACUCCUGCUCACUGAAGCGCACAAUCAAAGCCAAAUGAGUCCAUAAACAGACUCUGACAUGCAAGCUGUCAUCUGAUGGACAUUUGGCUCUGCCAGAGCUCAUUUGAAGCCGGGUUAGGUGGAAAGCUUCCCCCUUUGACAUCUGGGCCGCUCUUUUUUUGCCAAAAUUAAUUAAAUUCCCCGUCUAACCAGAGCUGCCAACAAACUGUCAGCAAAAAAGCAACAUGCUUGGACUGAAGAGAACUCACAUCUCUCUCUCCAUCUGUCUUGGAAAUCUGCAUGGAGCGACCUGUCUCUAGUCUGUCUUAAUUUGUAAUUAUGUGGAGGCGGCAUCACAAACUGGACUUGAUUGACAUGGAUUUUCUCAAUGUGUCAUUGU
Long non-coding RNA from Siniperca chuatsi (mandarin fish), 622 nucleotides. RefSeq lists it as uncharacterized. The record is from RefSeq and is a predicted model, not a curated record. The transcript has 3 exons. NCBI's taxonomy places the organism in Eukaryota, Metazoa, Chordata, Actinopteri, Centrarchiformes, Sinipercidae.